Molecule: ribosomal RNA, 414 nt
Filed under: uncultured bacterium
Lineage: Bacteria
Description: bacterial SSU rRNA
Rfam family: Bacterial small subunit ribosomal RNA
Source: RNAcentral
GUGUCAGCAGCCGCGGUAAUACGUAGGUGGCAAGCGUUGUCCGGAUUUAUUGGGCGUAAAGGGAGCGCAGGCGGUCUUUUAAGUCUGAAUGUGAAAGCCCUCAGCUUAACUGAGGAAGAGCAUCGGAAACUGAAAGACUUGAGUGCAGAAGAGGAGAGUGGAACUCCAUGUGUAGCGGUGAAAUGCGUAGAUAUAUGGAAGAACACCAGUGGCGAAGGCGGCUCUCUGGUCUGUUACUGACGCUGAGGCUCGAAAGCAUGGGUAGCGAACAGGAUUAGAUACCCUGGUAGUCCAUGCCGUAAACGAUGAGUGCUAAGUGUUGGGAGGUUUCCGCCUCUCAGUGCUGCAGCUAACGUAUUAAGCACUCCGCCUGGGGAGUACGACCGCAAGGUUGAAACUCAAAUAAAUUGACGG